CACGGCGACGGCUUGCGCAUCCGACUGGGGGCGCAGGCCCGAGGCGCCACCCACCCAAGUACCGAGCGCCGCCGAGCCUUCUUGCCGGAUCGCCAUCUGCUGACCCUCCCUAGCAGCCUGCCUCAGCUUCCCUUCCCCUGGCCGGCAGCAUGGAGCCCCAGGAGGGCCGCGUUCACUAUAGCAGGUGGGAAGACAGCAGCCAGGACGAAGUCAGUAUGGCCACCGUGUCAAGCACAGAGACCUCAUGCUGCAAAAAGGUCUCCAGGAAGCUGUGCACGGGCAAGCUGGGCAUCGCCAUGAAGGUGCUGGGUGGUGUGGCCCUCUUCUGGGUCAUCUUCAUCCUGGGCUAUGUCACUGGCUACUAUGUGCACAAGUGCAAAUAAAGGCUGUCCCGUUGAGAGACAUGGGGCUGAGAGAGACCCUGGGAUGUGCAGCCCCUCCCCUGACCCCAAGGCAGCCCCAGCACAAGGGGGCAGUGGUGGUGCCGGGCACAGGAAGAUGCCAGUGUGCAGCUGCUACAGUACCACCAAGAGUGUGCGGGCACAAAGGGACAGAGGCUCGUGCCAGGAUCCAGUACACAGGGACCUCACGGGACAAGACACACCCUGCAUGGUGUCCACACCGCUGGAGGCCCAGGCCCAUCUGGGCAGCAGCUGCAGGACAUCCCAGCUUGGCCCUGCGACCACAGCUCUUCUGCCUGGGUCCCAAGCCCUGGCCACACCAGGCACUGUCCUCCCAGCCAAGUGCCCAGACCACAGGCAGCCCCCUUCCCUCCAGGCUUUCCUGACUCAGAGCCUCGGAGGACACCCCUUACAUGGGUAGCCCUUGCCCAGCCUUUGCAAGGGGACCAAGACCCUGCCACACCACAUGCCUUCCUAGGCCCCCAACUGCCCCAUGAGGACCAAAUGCCAGUGCACAAUAAAGGUGCGGGAAGACUGGAUGGUGACCUCCACCUGCUGCCCUGGCUGUAUGGCCAGGUGUGACCGGUGCCACCUGUGAAGGCCUCCUAUCUGAGCACAGAAUGCCCAGCCUGGCUCCGGGCUGUGGAAUGUGCCCCUCCUGCUUGGGCCCUCUUGCAAGGAUGCAGAGGCCUGGGACACCGUGAGCUGCUUCCUCCUCACCUGACCCCAUGGACGGGCUCAGCAGACCUGAGGCCACUGCAGCUGCCUUAGGGACUUUGGACCUGGCUUCCAACCUGGCCUUCAUCUACUGCAAAGCCAUCUCAGCCCUGCUGGCCCUUGGCAGCAACACCCGGUCAGGAGCUGUUCUCCCUGAGGACACUGCUGACCCUGGGUGUAGGGAAGUAAACAGGAAGGGCCUGGCCAGGAUGUUUCCCCCUCCCCAGGGCCUGCUUAGGGUCCUGGAGCAGUGCAGGAGAGGCCAUCCAUCUGACCCUGCUGCAGGGCCUGCUGUGGGCUGGGCAGCAUUCUAGCUGCCCGAGUUGCUGCAGGGCCCUUGUAGAGAGGUGCGGAUACCCCCAACACACCAUCGGGAGCUGCAGGCUGGGCACCACUGGGGGGUCCAGUCUCGGCUUUCUGUUCCAGAGGCCCCAGGCAUCCCUCAGGGCGGGCCGUGUGCAGGCACAGACCAGAUGAGGCUGGGGCAGGGGGAGCAAGACAAGAGGGGAAGUGACCCAGGAGCUUCUGGCUGGCCCAGUACUCUGGGCUGAUGCUGGGGUCUCAUCUGGCCAGCCAUGCCCCAGGCCCACCCAGAAGCCUGAGAGGCACCCAGCAGGCUGGGGACCCACUGCCUGCAAACCAAAGCCCAGCCCCCCAAGGGCAACCCUGGGCUAGGUGGCUAUGGGACUGGGCAGGUUGGGGACAGUGUGGAUGGAGUCCUGCAGCAGCCACUGGGAUCCCCUCAGCCUGCCCAGCCAGCUUGAGGUACAGGGCUGAGCAAGUCCCUGGUGGGGGCUGGAUCUGGGUGGGGAGAGUGGAGGCAGCCCCAGGUCCUGUUUCCCCAUGCAUGGACAGCACCACAGCCACUGGGAAAGGAUCGCAGGCAGGGGCUGUUUCUUAUCAAAUGUUUCUUUAUUAGAGAGGAUGGGCAAAGGAAAAGAAAGAAUACGAGGCUUCUUUAAGUUAAAAUGUCCCCAAAUCUCACACAUACUAAGAGCACAGCAGGAGCCAGCACAGGACAGUGCUGUGCAGCAUCCCCGAGCCCAGACCUGGAGAGCAGGGAGGAGUCCUCUGCAGUGAGCCAUAGUGACAGGCAGGGCUACAGCAGAUGUCCGACCAGCUGAUGAGAACCCCCGAGAAGG
This 2260-nucleotide long non-coding RNA is filed under the name Fukomys damarensis (Damara mole-rat). RNAcentral describes it as "lncRNA (ENSFDAG00000028644.1)". The record is from RNAcentral. Lineage: Eukaryota; Metazoa; Chordata; Mammalia; Rodentia; Bathyergidae.